GGCGCUAUGGUGUAGUGGUAGCACAUGGGAUUCUGAUCAGAAUAACGAAUUCCCACAACCCAGGUUCGAACCCUGGUAGUGCCU
This 84-nucleotide transfer RNA is filed under the name Armillaria borealis. It matches the Rfam family "tRNA". Rfam says of the family: Transfer RNA (tRNA) molecules are approximately 80 nucleotides in length. Lineage: Eukaryota; Fungi; Basidiomycota; Agaricomycetes; Agaricales; Physalacriaceae. The record is from Rfam by way of RNAcentral.